CAUUAUGACAGUAGUUCGCUACUUUGCUGGGGGAGAUGGGAAAGUCCUGGCUGAAAAGCCAGUGUACCGGUACCUGCACCCCUAUCAUACCCUUGUCUUUUGAGUACUUAUGUUUCCUUGGUAGGCUUGCUUACCAGUUGGACAAUUUACAAACCUUUAUUUUAUAAAUCAGCGUCUGAAUAAAUUAAUAAUUACAACUUUCAACAACGGAUCUCUUGGUUCUGGCAUCGAUGAAGAACGCAGCGAAAUGCGAUAAGUAGUGUGAAUUGCAGAAUUCAGUGAAUCAUCGAAUCUUUGAACGCACAUUGCGCCCCUUGGUAUUCCAUGGGGCAUGCCUGUUCGAGCGUCAUUUGUACCCUCAAGCUAUGCUUGGUGUUGGGUGUUUGUCCUUUGCUUUAUUGCUUGGACUCGCCUUAAAAUAAUUGGCAGCCAUUGUUUUGGUAGAAAGCGCAGCACAUUUUGCAAUUUCCUCCAAGAGUAUUAGCGACCAACAAGCCUUUUUAACACUUUUGACCUCGGAUCAGGUAGGGAUACCCGCUGAACUUAAGCAUAUCAUGAGGCGGAGGA
Molecule: ribosomal RNA, 567 nt
Filed under: Leptospora galii
Lineage: Eukaryota; Fungi; Ascomycota; Dothideomycetes
Description: eukaryotic LSU rRNA
Rfam family: 5.8S ribosomal RNA (bases 196-349)
Source: RNAcentral